Molecule: small nuclear RNA, 158 nt
Filed under: Triticum dicoccoides
Lineage: Eukaryota; Viridiplantae; Streptophyta; Magnoliopsida; Poales; Poaceae
Description: snRNA U1
Rfam family: U1 spliceosomal RNA
About the family: U1 is a small nuclear RNA (snRNA) component of the spliceosome (involved in pre-mRNA splicing). Its 5' end forms complementary base pairs with the 5' splice junction, thus defining the 5' donor site of an intron.
Source: RNAcentral
AUACUUACCUGGUCGGGGUCUAUGAGCGAUCAAGAAGGCUCAUGGCCUAGAUCAAUGGUUCACAUUGCACAUAGUGAGCGCGUUGAUCUACCCUCUUCUUUGGGAGAGUGAAUGUCAUAAUUUGUGAUAGAGGGGGUAUGCGUCUGCGCGGCCCCUGC